RNAcentral lists this ribosomal RNA (660 nucleotides) under uncultured bacterium. Its description in RNAcentral is "bacterial SSU rRNA". It matches the Rfam family "Bacterial small subunit ribosomal RNA", at positions 93 to 738 of the family's 1533-position model. The record is from RNAcentral.
GAGUGGCGGACGGGUGAGUAACACGUAGGUAACCUUCCCAGAAGUGGGGGACAACAUUUGGAAACAGAUGCUAAUACCGCAUAACAGCGUUGUUCGCAUGAACAACGCUUAAAAGAUGGCUUCUCGCUAUCACUUCUGGAUGGACCUGCGGUGCAUUAGCUUGUUGGUGGGGUAACGGCCUACCAAGGCGAUGAUGCAUAGCCGAGUUGAGAGACUGAUCGGCCACAAUGGGACUGAGACACGGCCCAUACUCCUACGGGAGGCAGCAGUAGGGAAUCUUCCACAAUGGGCGCAAGCCUGAUGGAGCAACACCGCGUGAGUGAAGAAGGGUUUCGGCUCGUAAAGCUCUGUUGUUAAAGAAGAACACGUAUGAGAGUAACUGUUCAUACGUUGACGGUAUUUAACCAGAAAGUCACGGCUAACUACGUGCCAGCAGCCGCGGUAAUACGUAGGUGGCAAGCGUUAUCCGGAUUUAUUGGGCGUAAAGAGAGUGCAGGCGGUUUUCUAAGUCUGAUGUGAAAGCCUUCGGCUUAACCGGAGAAGUGCAUCGGAAACUGGAUAACUUGAGUGCAGAAGAGGGUAGUGGAACUCCAUGUGUAGCGGUGGAAUGCGUAGAUAUAUGGAAGAACACCAGUGGCGAAGGCGGCUACCUGGUCUGCA